Molecule: ribosomal RNA, 550 nt
Filed under: Cryptosporidium parvum
Lineage: Eukaryota; Apicomplexa; Conoidasida; Eucoccidiorida; Cryptosporidiidae
Description: SSU rRNA
Rfam family: Eukaryotic small subunit ribosomal RNA
Source: RNAcentral
GGGUAUUGGCCUACCGUGGCAAUGACGGGUAACGGGGAAUUAGGGUUCGAUUCCGGAGAGGGAGCCUGAGAAACGGCUACCACAUCUAAGGAAGGCAGCAGGCGCGCAAAUUACCCAAUCCUAAUACAGGGAGGUAGUGACAAGAAAUAACAAUACAGGACUUUUUGGUUUUGUAAUUGGAAUGAGUUAAGUAUAAACCCCUUUACAAGUAUCAAUUGGAGGGCAAGUCUGGUGCCAGCAGCCGCGGUAAUUCCAGCUCCAAUAGCGUAUAUUAAAGUUGUUGCAGUUAAAAAGCUCGUAGUUGGAUUUCUGUUAAUAAUUUAUAUAAAAUAUUUUGAUGAAUAUUUAUAUAAUAUUAACAUAAUUCAUAUUACUAUAUAUUUUAGUAUAUGAAAUUUUACUUUGAGAAAAUUAGAGUGCUUAAAGCAGGCAUAUGCCUUGAAUACUCCAGCAUGGAAUAAUAUUAAAGAUUUUUAUCUUUCUUAUUGGUUCUAAGAUAAGAAUAAUGAUUAAUAGGGACAGUUGGGGGCAUUUGUAUUUAACAGUCAGA